Molecule: long non-coding RNA, 285 nt
Filed under: Carica papaya (papaya)
Lineage: Eukaryota; Viridiplantae; Streptophyta; Magnoliopsida; Brassicales; Caricaceae
Description: long non-coding RNA (CPAP_LNC010740)
Source: RNAcentral
UAAGUUGUAACAUCUUUUCAGUUCCUUUUUAUUUUUCCAGUUACCUUGAAAGCUUUCACAUUAUUGAUUUUGAUUCAAGUAGGGAAGUUUGAUUUAGAGAAUUAAGUUUUUGCAUGUUAAGUACAGUGGGUUCAUAAUUAAGGUGUUUUUGAUCCUUGAGCUCCCUCCAUCAUUGUGUGCCCCAUAUUUCCAUGUUUUGAGGGAAAUCAAUAUACCCAUACGGGUUGUUUCCAUGUUUCGAGUGUAUUGAGAAUAAGUGAUAAGUGUGUGUUUAUACAUAAUAUU